Molecule: ribosomal RNA, 707 nt
Filed under: uncultured Crater Lake bacterium CL120-1
Lineage: Bacteria
Description: bacterial SSU rRNA
Rfam family: Bacterial small subunit ribosomal RNA
Source: RNAcentral
GAUGAACGCUGGGAGUAUGCUUAACACAUGCAAGUCGUACGGAAAUUUUUAGCAAUAAAAAUUUGAGUGGCGGACGGGUGAGUAACGCGUAAGAAUCUUCCUUAAGGAGAGGGAUAACUAUUGGAAACGAUGGGUAAUCCCUCAUAUGGAGUCAUCUGAAAAAGAGUGAAGCUUGCUUCAAGUCUGCCUUAAGAUGAGCUUGCGUCUGAUUAGCUAGUUGGUGAGGUAAUGGCUUACCCAAGGCGACGAUCAGUAGCUGAUUUGAGAGAAUGAUCAGCCACACUGGGACUGAGACACGGCCCAGACUCCUACGGGAGGCAGCAGUGAGGAAUUUUUCGCAAUGGGCGCAAGCCUGACGGAGCAAUACUGCGUGGAGGAUGAAGGCCCGUGGGCUGUAAACUCCUUUUCCCAAAAAAGAAGUUCUGACGGUAUUCGGGGAAUAAGCAUCAGCUAACUGCGUGCCAGCAGCUGCGGUAAUACGUGGGAUGCAAGCGUUAUCCGGAUUUAUUGGGCGUAAAGCGUCUGUAGGUGGCUUUGCAAGUUUGUUGUUAAAGAAUUCAGCUCAACUGGGUUUCAGCAUCAAAAACUACUAAGCUUGAGUCAAGUAGAGGAAAAGGGAAUUCCCUGUGGAGCGGUGAAAUGCCUAGAGAUAGGGAAGACCCCAAAGGCGAAGCCUUUUCUGGCAUUGACUGACCUGAGAGACGAAA